Molecule: ribosomal RNA, 480 nt
Filed under: Triticum aestivum (bread wheat)
Lineage: Eukaryota; Viridiplantae; Streptophyta; Magnoliopsida; Poales; Poaceae
Description: partial small subunit ribosomal RNA
Source: RNAcentral
AUGAGUCGACCUGAUGGGAUCAACAUCCCCGACGGAAAGUUCUACCUUGGAGAUGCUGGCUAUGCAUGUCGGCCGGGUAUUCUUCCACCCUUUAGGAAAACAAGGUACCAUCUCAACGAGUUCUCUGGUAGGAACUAUCCUAGGACUGCACAGGAGCUGUUUAAUCUCAGACACUCCAGCCUUAGAGUAACUGUCGAGAGGGCAUUUGGAGCUCUGAAGAAUAGGUUUAAGAUCCUCGAUCAGAAGCCAUUCCACCCAUACUCCACUCAGGUUAAGCUAGUUCUUGCUUGUUGCAUUCUGCACAACUGGAUCCUCCAGUGGGGCUUUGAUGAACACGUGGCUGACGAGGAAGAUGUCGAGCCUGACGAUGUUGUUAGCUCUGGCCAUGGUGUGGAGGCAUUUGACAAUGAUGCUUGGAAGAACAAAAGGUUGGAGUGGGCAGAGGCGAUGUGGAUUAACAGAGGUCAGUGCAGGAUUUGA